Molecule: ribosomal RNA, 468 nt
Filed under: uncultured bacterium
Lineage: Bacteria
Description: partial 16S ribosomal RNA
Rfam family: Bacterial small subunit ribosomal RNA
Source: RNAcentral
GACGAACGCUGGCGGCGUGCUUAACACAUGCAAGUCGAACGGAAAGGCCCUGCUUUUGUGGGGUGCUCGAGUGGCGAACGGGUGAGUAACACGUGAGUAACCUGCCCUUGACUUUGGGAUAACUUCAGGAAACUGGGGCUAAUACCGGAUAGGAGCUCCUCCUGCAGGGUGGGGGUUGGAAAGUUUCGGCGGUUGGGGAUGGACUCGCGGCUUAUCAGCUUGUUGGUGGGGUAGUGGCUUACCAAGGCUUUGACGGGUAGCCGGCCUGAGAGGGUGACCGGCCACAUUGGGACUGAGAUACGGCCCAGACUCCUACGGGAGGCAGCAGUGGGGAAUAUUGCACAAUGGGCGGAAGCCUGAUGCAGCAACGCCGCGUGCGGGAUGACGGCCUUCGGGUUGUAAACCGCUUUCGCCUGUGACGAAGCGUGAGUGACGGUAAUGGGUAAAGAAGCACCGGCUAACUACGUG